GCAAGUCGAGGGGUAGAGUUCUUCGGAGCUUGAGACCGGCGCACGGGUGCGUAACGCGUAUGCAAUCUACCUUUUACAGAGGGAUAGCCCAGAGAAAUUUGGAUUAAUACCUCAUAGUAUAAUUGAAUGGCAUCAUUUAAUUAUUAAAGUCACAACGGUAAAAGAUGAGCAUGCGUCCCAUUAGCUAGUUGGUAAGGUAACGGCUUACCAAGGCUACGAUGGGUAGGGGUCCUGAGAGGGAGAUCCCCCACACUGGUACUGAGACACGGACCAGACUCCUACGGGAGGCAGCAGUGAGGAAUAUUGGACAAUGGGCGCAAGCCUGAUCCAGCCAUGCCGCGUGCAGGAUGACGGUCCUAUGGAUUGUAAACUGCUUUUGUACAGGAAGAAACACUGGUUCGUGAACCAGCUUGACGGUACUGUAAGAAUAAGGAUCGGCUAACUCCGUGCCAGCAGCCGCGGUAAUACGGAGGAUCCAAGCGUUAUCCGGAAUCAUUGGGUUUAAAGGGUCCGUAGGCGGUUUGGUAAGUCAGUGGUGAAAGCCCAUCGCUCAACGGUGGAACGGCCAUUGAUACUGCUAGACUUGAAUUAUUAGGAAGUAACUAGAAUAUGUAGUGUAGCGGUGAAAUGCUUAGAGAUUACAUGGAAUACCAAUUGCGAAGGCAGGUUACUACUAAUGGAUUGACGCUGAUGGACGAAAGCGUGGGUAGCGAACAGGAUUAGAUACCCUGGUAGUCCACGCCGUAAACGAUGGAUACUAGCUGUUGGAAGCAAUUUCAGUGGCUAAGCGAAAGUGAUAAGUAUCCCACCUGGGGAGUACGUUCGCAAGAAUGAAACUCAAGGAAUUGACGGGGGCCCGCACAAGCGGUGGAGCAUGUGGUUUAAUUCGAUGAUACGCGAGGAACCUUACCAAGGCUUAAAUGUAGAUUGACCGGUUUGGAAACAGACUUUUCGCAGACAAUUUACAAGGUGCUGCAUGGUUGUC
RNAcentral lists this ribosomal RNA (985 nucleotides) under Flavobacterium sp. UA-JF1511. RNAcentral's name for it is "bacterial SSU rRNA". It matches the Rfam family "Bacterial small subunit ribosomal RNA", at positions 57 to 1053 of the family's 1533-position model. Lineage: Bacteria; Pseudomonadati; Bacteroidota; Flavobacteriia; Flavobacteriales; Flavobacteriaceae. The record is from RNAcentral.